UUUCCGGUUGAUCCUGCCGGACCUGACUGCUAUUGGAGUGGGACUAAGUCACGCUAGUUAAAGGUAUGGAUUGGAGUACCUGGCGUACGGCUCAGUAACACGUAAUGAACCUAACCUAAGGACGGAGAUAACCGCGGGAAACUGCGGCUAAUACUCGAUAGGAAAUUUGGCCUGGAACGGUAUCUUUCCCAAAACCGGCUAGCCGUUAGACACGGGCCUUAGGAUGGCGUUGCGGCCGAUUAUGCUUGAUGGCGGUGUAAUGGACCACCAUGGCUGUGAUCGGUAUGGGCGAUGGAAGUCGGAGCCCAGAGUCGGCCACUGAGACAAGGGGCCGAGCCUUACGAGGCUUAGCGGUCGCGAAACCUCGCCAAUACACGAAAGUGUGAGUGGGCCACUCCAAGUGUCAUUCUUACGGAUGACUGUCGCUCAGUCUUACACGCUGAGAAAGGAAGGAGAGGGCAAGGCUGGUGCCAGCCGCCGCGGUAAAACCAGCUCUUCGAGUGGUCAGGACGUAUAUUGGGUCUAAAGCGCUCGUAGCCGGGCAAGUGGGUUCCUGGUUAAAUCCGACAGCUUAACUGUUGGGCUGCUGGGAAUACCGCUAGUCUUGGAAGCGGGAGAGGACAGAGGUAGUCUUGGGGCAGGGGUGAAAUCCAGUGAUCCCAAGGCGACCACCGAUGGCGAAGGCAUCUGUCUGGAACGUAUUCGACGGUGAGGGGCGAAAGCCAGGGGAGCAACCCGGAUUAGAUACCCGGUUAGUCCUGGCCGUAAACGAUGCGGACUAGGUGUUGCACCGGCCAAGAGCCGCUGCAGUGCCACAGCGAAGGCGUUAAGUUCGCCACCUGGGGAGUACGUAUGCAAAUAUGAAACUUAAAGGAAUUGACGGGAGCGCACCACCAGGGGUGAAGCCUGCGGUUUAAUUGGAUUCAACGCCGGA
This 934-nucleotide ribosomal RNA is filed under the name uncultured archaeon. RNAcentral describes it as "partial 16S ribosomal RNA". It matches the Rfam family "Archaeal small subunit ribosomal RNA", at positions 1 to 922 of the family's 1478-position model. The record is from RNAcentral.